UCCCUGGUGGUCUACUGGUUAAGAUUCUGCGCUUCCACUGCAGGGGGCACGGGUUUGAUCCCUGGUCAGGGAA
This 73-nucleotide transfer RNA is filed under the name Bos taurus (domestic cattle). It matches the Rfam family "tRNA". Rfam says of the family: Transfer RNA (tRNA) molecules are approximately 80 nucleotides in length. Their secondary structure includes four short double-helical elements and three loops (D, anti-codon, and T loops). Further hydrogen bonds mediate the characteristic L-shaped molecular structure. tRNAs have two regions of fundamental functional importance: the anti-codon, which is responsible for specific mRNA codon recognition, and the 3' end, to which the tRNAs corresponding amino acid is attached (by aminoacyl-tRNA synthetases). tRNAs cope with the degeneracy of the genetic code in two manners: having more than one tRNA (with a specific anti-codon) for a particular amino acid; and 'wobble' base-pairing, i.e. permitting non-standard base-pairing at the 3rd anti-codon position. The record is from Rfam by way of RNAcentral. RNAcentral also lists the same sequence under 4 other names. Lineage: Eukaryota; Metazoa; Chordata; Mammalia; Artiodactyla; Bovidae.